Molecule: ribosomal RNA, 854 nt
Filed under: uncultured bacterium
Lineage: Bacteria
Description: bacterial SSU rRNA
Rfam family: Bacterial small subunit ribosomal RNA
Source: RNAcentral
AACGUACGCUGGCGGCACGCCUAACACAUGCAAGUCGAACGAAGUAGCAAUACUUAGUGGCAGACGGGUGAGUAACAUGUAGGUAUCUGCCCUUUGGCCUGGAAUAACACGAGGAAACUUGUGCUAAUACCGGAUAAGUCUUUACGGAGAAAGCUUUAUGCACCAUUGGAUGAGCCUGCACUUGAUUAGUUUGUUGGUGGGGUAAUGGCCUACCAAGACUGUGAUCAAUAGCUGAUUUGAGAGGAUGAUCAGCCACAUUGGGACUGAGACACGGCCCAAACUCCUACGGGAGGCAGCAGUGGGGAAUCUUGCACAAUGGAGGAAACUCUGAUGCAGCGAUGCCGCGUGAGUGAAGAAGGCCCUUGGGUUGUAAAGCUCUUUCGUCGGGGAAGAAAAUGACUGUACCCGAAUAAGAAGGUCCGGCUAACUUCGUGCCAGCAGCCGCGGUAAUACGAAGGGACCUAGCGUAGUUCGGAAUUACUGGGCUUAAAGAGUUCGUAGGUGGUUGAAAAAGUUAGUGGUGAAAUCCCAGGGCUUAACUCUGGAACUGCCAUUAAAACUUUUCAGCUAGAGUAUGAUAGAGGAAAGCAGAAUUUCUAGUGUAGAGGUGAAAUUCGUAGAUAUUAGAAAGAAUACCAAUUGCGAAGGCAGCUUUCUGGAUCAUUACUGACACUGAGGAACGAAAGCAUGGGUAGCGAAGAGGAUUAGAUACCCUCGUAGUCCAUGCCGUAAACGAUGUGUGUUAGACGUUGGAAAUUUAUUUUCAGUGUCGCAGGDGAAACCGAUAAACACACCGCCUGGGGAGUACGACCGCAAGGUUAAAACUCAAAUGAAUUGACGGGGACCCGCACAAG